AAGUCGAGCGGUAGAGAGAAGCUUGCUUCUCUUGAGAGCGGCGGACGGGUGAGCAAUGCCUAGGAAUCUGCCUGGUAGUGGGGGAUAACGUUCGGAAACGGACGCUAAUACCGCAUACGUCCUACGGGAGAAAGCAGGGGACCUUCGGGCCUUGCGCUAUCAGAUGAGCCUAGGUCGGAUUAGCUAGUUGGUGGGGUAAUGGCUCACCAAGGCGACGAUCCGUAACUGGUCUGAGAGGAUGAUCAGUCACACUGGAACUGAGACACGGUCCAGACUCCUACGGGAGGCAGCAGUGGGGAAUAUUGGACAAUGGGCGAAAGCCUGAUCCAGCCAUGCCGCGUGUGUGAAGAAGGUCUUCGGAUUGUAAAGCACUUUAAGUUGGGAGGAAGGGCAGUUGCCUAAUACGUAACUGUUUUGACGUUACCGACAGAAUAAGCACCGGCUAACUCUGUGCCAGCAGCCGCGGUAAUACAGAGGGUGCAAGCGUUAAUCGGAAUUACUGGGCGUAAAGCGCGCGUAGGUGGUUUGUUAAGUUGGAUGUGAAAUCCCCGGGCUCAACCUGGGAACUGCAUUCAAAACUGACUGACUAGAGUAUGGUAGAGGGUGGUGGAAUUUCCUGUGUAGCGGUGAAAUGCAUAGAUAUAGGAAGGAACACCAGUGGCGAAGGCGACCACCUGGACUAAUACUGACACUGAGGUGCGAGAGCGUGGGGAGCAAACAGGAUUAGAUACCCUGGUAGUCCACGCCGUAAACGAUGUCAACUAGCCGUUGGAAGCCUUGAGCUUUUAGUGGCGCAGCUAACGCAUUAAGUUGACCGCCUGGGGAGUACGGCCGCAGGGUUAAAACUCAAAGGAAUGACG
Molecule: ribosomal RNA, 860 nt
Filed under: uncultured bacterium
Lineage: Bacteria
Description: bacterial SSU rRNA
Rfam family: Bacterial small subunit ribosomal RNA
Source: RNAcentral